CGGGAAGUAGCUCAGAUUGGUAGAGCACUUGGUUUGGGACCAAGGGGUCGCAGGUUCGAAUCCUGUCUUCCCGA
Molecule: transfer RNA, 74 nt
Filed under: Staphylococcus aureus
Lineage: Bacteria; Bacillati; Bacillota; Bacilli; Caryophanales; Staphylococcaceae
Description: tRNA-Pro
Rfam family: tRNA
About the family: Transfer RNA (tRNA) molecules are approximately 80 nucleotides in length. Their secondary structure includes four short double-helical elements and three loops (D, anti-codon, and T loops). Further hydrogen bonds mediate the characteristic L-shaped molecular structure. tRNAs have two regions of fundamental functional importance: the anti-codon, which is responsible for specific mRNA codon recognition, and the 3' end, to which the tRNAs corresponding amino acid is attached (by aminoacyl-tRNA synthetases). tRNAs cope with the degeneracy of the genetic code in two manners: having more than one tRNA (with a specific anti-codon) for a particular amino acid; and 'wobble' base-pairing, i.e. permitting non-standard base-pairing at the 3rd anti-codon position.
Source: RNAcentral